This 319-nucleotide ribosomal RNA is filed under the name uncultured eukaryote. RNAcentral's name for it is "partial 18S ribosomal RNA". It matches the Rfam family "Eukaryotic small subunit ribosomal RNA", at positions 1470 to 1796 of the family's 1831-position model. The record is from RNAcentral.
CCCUUAGAUGUUCUGGGCCGCACGCGCGCUACAAUGGUCUUCGCAAACGGAUGCAUUCUCGAAGGAGAAUGCCAAUCUUGGAAUCUAUGCCUUGGUCGGGACAGUUGCUUGCAAUUUUUCGACUCGAACCAGGAAUUCCUUGUAAUCGUGAUUCAUCACAUCACGAUGAAUACGUCCCUGCCCUUUGUACACACCGCCCGUCGCUCCUACCGAUCGAAGAGUUAGGUGAAUUGUUUUGAUCGAUAAGAUUUGACUAUGGUCAACUCUCGUUAUGAAAUUCUGUGAAUCUGACUGUUUAGAGGAAGGAAAAGUCGUAACA